GUGGGGCUCGGGCCCCCUUAGCCUUCUACCUAGGUCCGUCCCUGCCUAGGAGAGCCCAAAUGGUGUAUGGAACAUGAAUCGAUGUUGUGGAGGUUAAAGGCUUCACAAAUCUGCCAAGAAUCGUGGCCGUGGUGACACGUGAGAUCACAUAUGGUGGCGCGUGAGCCCGUGAACAACACAGGUGACAGAGGCUAAGGUCUUGCAUUGCAAUCCUUGGAGCCGAUUACUGUACGAUCAUCGCUGAUGCUCGCACGUCUUCCGGUUACAAUAUUCUCACCCGCGAGUACUCCAAAAUCUGCAAAUUGUGAAACUGAAUUCGUGCCAAUCCCCACUUAAUAAUACUAUGUAGCAUUGAAACUGAAUUGAUGCAUUGAAGUACAAUGACCAGCCCCGUCAAGAUUAUGGAAUUGAGGUUAUGUACAGGUUUGCAAGAUUUGAUCCUUUUGAAAGGUCCACCUAUUUUGGGCCCUUCUUUGAUUUGCGACAGAUUCAGAGAUUCAACAGCUCAUAUAUGGACAACAGUAGAGCUACAGAUGGUAGCUCGAGAUCUACUUCUAAUGGUCCUUUGAACGUGCUGGUGCUGAAACAUGUUAAGGGUAGAACAAAUAAGAAGAGUAAAAAUGUCACCACACUUGAUUGGAAUGUGCUGGUGUUGAUUCUGAGGUUUCUGAGUCUGGUUCGGUUUACAGUAGAAGAAACAUUGCAAAUAAACGAAAGGGUAAAGGGAAGGAAACUGCGGAGCCUUUGAGUUGCCCUCCUGCAGUUAAAAUCGGGAAUGUUUGGAACAAGAUAAACAAAGAUGGAGAAAAGAGUCUACCGAAGGCUUGUACAGCACCUCCUAAAAAGAGGCAACAUCGUGUAAAUGUUUCAGAUUACGCCUUGCCGGAUGAAUUCAUAAAACAGCAGAGGGAUUACUUUGCAGAGAUUGAUGCAUUCGAGAUGGAAGAAGAGGAGGUUGAGUCACUGGAUCAGUUAGAGUAGAUGGAUGAGAGCUAUAUAUGGCUGAUCAUUUCAGAUGAGUAGUCAAGGAAAUCUAACCCCUUAACAUUCCCUGUAUAUAUAGGAUACCUUUGACAAAUUCUGGUGCAAUUACCAUCCUGUUCCCAAUUUUAUCCAUGUAACCAUGUACGUGCUAGUGCUAGAUAUCUUUCUUGAAUACUCUAAUGUACUGGAUUAUCAUAUUCUUUUAGUACUUGACGGUAGGGAUUUUUUUUCCCCUUAAAUCAGAGAAAACUACAGUGGUAGGUAGUAUUUUUGUGAUAGUGAUAUUCUGUGGACUACAAUAUCA
This is an RNA transcript of Quercus lobata, 1288 nucleotides long. RefSeq lists it as uncharacterized. The transcript has 8 exons. Lineage: Eukaryota; Viridiplantae; Streptophyta; Magnoliopsida; Fagales; Fagaceae. The record is from RefSeq and is a predicted model, not a curated record.